This is a non-coding RNA of Paramuricea clavata, 655 nucleotides long. NCBI's taxonomy places the organism in Eukaryota, Metazoa, Cnidaria, Anthozoa, Malacalcyonacea, Plexauridae. The record is from the annotation of a GenBank genome assembly.
GUGCUGACACAAACACCCCCCCCCCCAGAAGUUAAGAAAUUGUUGCCUUACCCCUCAGAAAAAAUGCAAAGAUCAAAGGAUGCCGAUGCACACAACCCCUCAGAAAUGGCUUUUUCAAACCCCCUCAGAAAUUAAAUAAAUAGAAUGGCCCCUUAAUUACCAACCCUGUCUGAAAUCUCUCCCCCCUUUCCUUUCUCUGUUGGCACCAGUAACAUAUAUUCCUCACCACUUAUGCCUAAUUUGAUGCAUUAUAUAAUUACAAUGUUUUAUAAAUUUGUUAAUAGAGCUUUUAAACUGGCCUGACUGGAAAGUCUGACUGCCGUGCGAUACAAACUUUCCCCACUUGUAAACUGGCAUCAGAGAAAAUCCUUGCCCUAAUCAUAAAUCAACAAUCUCAAUAUUGAACCAUUAGACAUUGUACAUAUGGACGAGAAGGAAAGAAAACAUUCACCUUGCAUAAUUGUCCACGGAGGUGCAGGGUCAAUACCUGACCAUUUUCUUGAAACGUAUUAUGCCGGGAUACAAGAGGCAGUGAAGGCAGGUUAUGAGGUCCUAAAGAAUGUAAGUAUAAAUUUCUAGUGCAUACCUAGUAACGUACUUUUAAUUUCUAGUACAUACCUAAGUACCUUACUUUUGCCCUUACUUCUCCAGAACU